Molecule: long non-coding RNA, 487 nt
Filed under: Homo sapiens (human)
Lineage: Eukaryota; Metazoa; Chordata; Mammalia; Primates; Hominidae
Description: HSALNT0128181
Source: RNAcentral
CUGUGAAGUGAAUACCUUCCUUAGGAAAAAUCCUGCUUUUAGCAAAUACAGUUGUCUGAAAUUGGGAAGACAGUAACAAACAUCAGUCUUCAUCUGAACUGUAAGUCUAACAUAGCAAACUAGCUCUCCAUAACAUUGGCCCACUUGUCUCUUAAUCUUCAAAAGGAAGUACUGUGUUACCCCUCAGCAGGCAACCCCAACACAAGUUACUCUUAGGGAAGGUCUCCAAAAAAGCCUACUUUCAAAUUCCCUACCCACUACCUCAACCUCUCUCUCAGUGUUUACUCAUGCUUUUAUUAUCAACUAUCUGAGGAAAAAACACAAAAAACAAAAAACAUGUCUUUGCCCAUUUCAGGAUGAGAAUGAGACCUUCUACUUGUCUCCCAUAUCCUGUCCUUCCACUCUCUUCUCUUCAUCUUCACACUUCCCAUCUCACAUCUCCCUUCACUGACUCUUUCCCAUGCCCUAUAAAUAUAUUCAACCCUCU